Molecule: ribosomal RNA, 468 nt
Filed under: uncultured bacterium
Lineage: Bacteria
Description: partial 16S ribosomal RNA
Rfam family: Bacterial small subunit ribosomal RNA
Source: RNAcentral
GACGAACGCUGGCGGCGUGCUUAACACAUGCAAGUCGAACGGAAAGGCCCUGCUUUUGUGGGGUGCUCGAGUGGCGAACGGGUGAGUAACACGUGAGUAACCUGCCCUUGACUUUGGGAUAACUUCAUGAAACUGGGGCUAAUACCGGAUAGGAGCUCCUGCUGCAUGGUGGGGGUUGGAAAGUUUCGGCGGUUGGGGAUGGACUCGCGGCUUAUCAGCUUGUUGGGUGGGUAGUGGCUUACCAAGGCUUUGACGGGUAGCCGGCCUGAGAGGGUGACCGGACACAUUGGGACUGAGAUGAGACACAGCCUCCUACGGGAGGCAGCAGUGGGGAAUAUUGCACGAUGGGCGGAAGCAUGAUGCAGCAACGCCGCGUGCGGGAUGACGGCCUUCGGGUUGUAAACCGCUUUCGCCUGUGACGAAGCGUGAGUGACGGUAAUGGGUAAAGAAGCACCGGCUAACUACGUG